This 253-nucleotide ribosomal RNA is filed under the name uncultured bacterium. RNAcentral describes it as "partial 16S ribosomal RNA". It matches the Rfam family "Bacterial small subunit ribosomal RNA", at positions 524 to 776 of the family's 1533-position model. The record is from RNAcentral.
UACGAAGGGGGCUAGCGUUGCUCGGAAUUACUGGGCGUAAAGGGCGCGUAGGCGGCACUGUUAGUCAGGCGUGAAAGUCCUGGGCUCAACCUGGGAACUGCGCUUGAUACGGCAGAGCUAGAGGAUGGAAGAGGCUCGCGGAAUUCCCAGUGUAGAGGUGAAAUUCGUAGAUAUUGGGAGGAACACCGGUGGCGAAGGCGGCGAGCUGGUCCAUUACUGACGCUGAGGCGCGACAGCGUGGGGAGCAAACAGG